ACAGGGAUUGCCUCAGUAACGGCGAGUGAAGCGGCAACAGCUCAAUUUGAAAUCUGGCUCUUUCAGGGUCCGAGUUGUAAUUUGUAGAAGAUGUUUCGAGUGUGGCUCCGGUCUAAGUUCCUUGGAACAGGACGUCAUAGAGGGUGAGAAUCCCGUAUGUGACUGGUUGCCUUCGCUCAUGUGAAACUCUUUCGACGAGUCGAGUUGUUUGGGAAUGCAGCUCGAAUGGGUGGUAAAUUUCAUCUAAAGCUAAAUAUUGGCCAGAGACCGAUAGCGCACAAGUAGAGUGAUCGAAAGAUGAAAAGCACUUUGGAAAGAGAGUUAAACAGUACGUGAAAUUGUUGAAAGGGAAGCGCUUGCAACCAGACUUGCGCGUAGUUGAUCAUCCGGGGUUCUCCCCGGUGCACUCGAUUACGCUCAGGCCAGCAUCGGUUUGGGUGGUUGGAUAAAGGCCUUGGGAAUGUGGCUUCCUUCGGGGAGUGUUAUAGCCCUCGGUGCAAUGCAGCCUAUCCGGACCGAGGACCGCGCUUCGGCUAGGAUGCUGGCGUAAUGGUUGUAAGCGACCCGUCUUGAAACACGGACCAAGGAGUCUAACAUUUAUGCGAGUGUUUGGGUGUUAAACCCAUACGCGGAAUGAAAGUGAACGGAGGUGAGAACCCUUAAGGGUGCAUCAUCGACCGAUCCUGAUGUCUUCGGAUGGAUUUGAGUAAAAGCAUAACUGUUGGGACCCGGAAGAUGGUGAACUAUGCCUGAAUAGGGUGAAGCCAGAGGAAACUCUGGUGGAGGCUCGCAGCGGUUCUGACGUGCAAAUCGAUCGUCAAAUUUGGGUAUAGGGGCGAAAGACUAAUCGA
This 851-nucleotide ribosomal RNA is filed under the name Chalara austriaca. RNAcentral describes it as "eukaryotic LSU rRNA". It matches the Rfam family "Eukaryotic large subunit ribosomal RNA", at positions 68 to 938 of the family's 3401-position model. Lineage: Eukaryota; Fungi; Ascomycota; Leotiomycetes; Helotiales. The record is from RNAcentral.